This 73-nucleotide transfer RNA is filed under the name Enterobacteriaceae endosymbiont of Donacia cincticornis. RNAcentral's name for it is "tRNA-Thr". It matches the Rfam family "tRNA". From Rfam's summary of the family: Transfer RNA (tRNA) molecules are approximately 80 nucleotides in length. Their secondary structure includes four short double-helical elements and three loops (D, anti-codon, and T loops). Further hydrogen bonds mediate the characteristic L-shaped molecular structure. tRNAs have two regions of fundamental functional importance: the anti-codon, which is responsible for specific mRNA codon recognition, and the 3' end, to which the tRNAs corresponding amino acid is attached (by aminoacyl-tRNA synthetases). tRNAs cope with the degeneracy of the genetic code in two manners: having more than one tRNA (with a specific anti-codon) for a particular amino acid; and 'wobble' base-pairing, i.e. permitting non-standard base-pairing at the 3rd anti-codon position. The record is from RNAcentral. Lineage: Bacteria; Pseudomonadati; Pseudomonadota; Gammaproteobacteria; Enterobacterales; Enterobacteriaceae.
GCUGAUAUAGCUUACUAGGUAGAGCACAUUCUUGGUAAGAAUGAAGGUCCCAGUUCAAUUCUGGGUAUCAGCA